Molecule: long non-coding RNA, 7096 nt
Organism: Corvus hawaiiensis (hawaiian crow)
Lineage: Eukaryota; Metazoa; Chordata; Aves; Passeriformes; Corvidae
Exons: 7
Source: RefSeq, a predicted model, not a curated record
CUGUGACACUACUCCCACAGCCCCUGCAGAAAGACUGCUCUGAUUCAGCUUUGUUGGUGAUUAUGUAGGAUUAGGUUUGUCAGUGAGAAUAAAGCCAGUGCACCCGUUGUGAUCUGUCCUUUCUGUGUGGCCUCAAAGGCCACAGUGCUCCUGUGCCUGCAGAGAUCUUCCUGCUCAUCAGCCAAGGGGCAGAGCCUGGUUAUGAGCACGGGAUUUUAACUCUGUUUGCCCCUUCCUCGUUUUGGGACCAGUUUACAUCAAGCCUCCAAAAGCUCAAUGGCAUUGUUGAACAUGCCCAAUUUAAACAGUAUUUUUCCCCUCAGAUGAGCAGCUACCAUCCAGUCAGGGUAUGUAAAGGCUUGGUCCCAACUAUCAGGUAAUGAUCAGCUAUAAUGAAUUAAGAAGCAGUGGCUCUAGAAAGUAGUCUAUAUGUUCUGCAGUAAUUAAGGUUAUUUUUAGGAUAAUACUCUUACAAACUGUUGAGUUCCUGGAUACCUAUGAGCAAAAACCCUGGCAAAGUUACAUUUGUUCUUUUAGCAAGAAAAGAAAGCAUUAAUAACCAACCAGGCUUUUUCUCUUUCCACUUACAAAGCCUUGUUUUUUUCCCCUUCUUCUAACAUAUUAAAUUAAUCAGUUUUCAUACUGUUUUCUGCUUGUUUAGCAUAACCAGUGAGCAGAUUAGUCCUUUAUCUCAGCUAUCCAUAGGUUUCUUUAGGAAAAAAGGUGAUUAUUGCUGUGGUCACAACAGGGUACCCCGUUCUUAAUCCCCUCACUGGCAACCUUUGAUCCAUCUACAGUUAAACACACGUGUCCAGGACACACUGCUGUGCCUAUCUCUAAUCCUCCCCACAAAACCAGAGGGUUAACUGUCCUACAUGUUAAUUAGCUUGGAAUCAAGGAGCCAAAUAACAUUCCUGCAGUCAGAAUAGGUGACAAAGCAGGGAUCAGAGGGAUCUGAGCUUUCCAUUACAUUUUGUUUUCAAAGAGGUAACAAUCCAUGAGUGCACUAACAACACUGUCCAGCAGCCUCAUCAAUGUAUGAUCACAGCAUUUUCCACCCUAUUAAAUAAUUCUCAUGUUAUGUGUAAAGCAGAGUAAUGCAUCACAAGUUUUAAAUAAAAAUAAAUCAAUCACACAUUUAGAACACUAGAGUUCUGAGCAAAUACUUGGUCGGGUUUUUUUAUAGAACAGGCUGCAACCCAGUGCUCUUUCACAUCAUGAUUUACUUCAGUCUACUCCAAGAUUUUAAACAAAAAGCUAAAAAUUCCUAAAGACAGAAUGUCUUGAAACACCCUGAUGAGUGCCUCAAGUGUACUUCAGUCCAUUGGAACCAGUUUUCUCCAGAGUAACACAUGCUUUCUCUGAUGAAUGGAAAGAACAUCUCUGUAUAAUUACUGAAAAUGUGAGAUCUAUGUUCCAGUGCAGAAUCUUGGGUAUUUUACAUUAAAUGCCAACAAAUGUUUUAUUCAAGUCACAACAGCAACACAACUCCAGAGAAAAGACACAGUGAUAGUCUUGAUUCCCUCUUGUCAGAUCCAUUUUGUGCUGGUGAGAUGCCAUCAGUUUCCAGAUGGCAUCACUGUAUAGAAGUGAUGCACAGAAUUGCUGUAGUGAAAUGACAAACAAUGAGGUCUAAUAAACUUGACAUUUUGGGUUGUUUCUAAUUAUCACAGGUAACAAGCUAAGGCCAGAAUGAUCAGUUUCAACUAAGUUUACUUAUGCUUAUAGUAUUUAGUGUAAUUUCAGUAGUAGGUGACAUCUAAAACUGCUAAAGCUUUUUUCAUCUUCUACACAAGGAACUGCACGUCCCUAGGAGUCACAUAAAUGUGUGUCCUGAAGGCAUAAUCCUAGAAUAAUUCCAUUCCUUCUGCUGAAAGUUAGAGCUAUGUAUUACAGUAACACUGUUUUUAUUAAUGAGCUGUAUUUCAGGUCUCUCUUCUCAGAAAUGCUUUCUGGAGCAGCUAUGUUUAUGGCCUCUCCUGUGCAGCAUAACUCAAUAUCCCUGUUACGUAGAUAACUCAGAUUUAUGCCUCUAUCCUAUGAGACAUUUCACAAAUGCGGGCUUAGUGUUGUCAGGCAGUUUGAUGGAUGUUAAAUCCUGAAAUUUACCCAAGUACAUCCAGAUAAUGGCGUGGCAAUACCGGUUCCGAAUCUGAAUGCAUCACCAUUGUAGUAAUGCAUUCCCUCACCCCCUCCUGUGAGGGCAGUCAUAUUUCUGGAGAGGCACACUACAUCACACAUCACCUUAAUGUCACCCACAGCACUGCCUCACCACGUCGGGACAGGCACACCAUUGAGUUCUGCCCCAAGGGAAGCUGCAUUUCUUCCCUAGGCCUCAUGCAUGCUUUGAUCAUUCAGUGUAGUAAAAAUAAAGCCAGGAUAGACAUUAAAAAAAAAAAAAAAAAAGGUUGUUUUGCUUCUUUCUGAUUCUAAGAGGACUCAACAAGACUAGGAAGUGCUGACUGCAUGGCAACCGCUUUACAUGGAUUAACACCUGAUAAAAUUUUACAUGACAACAGCUGGUAACACCACUACCAGAUCUCCAAAACAAGAAGCAAUCAUGCUGGUAACUUUGCAGUCCUAGAAUCCCUGAAACAUCUGCCAGGACAAACUAAAUAAUUUCAAAGGAAUUCUGGAAGCACGUGAAUAAUAGUCUGCUCCAUAACAGCCCGUCCUUAUUGUGGCCGCAAGAUGACAAAGAAACAGCAGCUGGUGAAGGCAGGCAAAGAGGUGUUCUAGCAGGAGGCCACAUGUAGUGUCAUGUUGAAAGUCUUUAAUGAAUGGAAACAGUGGGCAAUACUGAGGAAGAGGUGUGCUGGCAUGAGGAAAAGGAUCCAUUUAACUGGCCUUCUGCUUUUCCAAGAGUCUUUGUUCAGACGGAUCUGUUGAGCCAAGUCUUCAGGAGUAAAAGGGACAGACUGCUAGACCAGCUACCUUCUAUUCUGCUUAGACACAGCUGAAAUACAAGGCCUUUAAAAGAAUUUUGGACACUAUUACAAAAACCAAAAUCCCACAAUUGUGUGAGCAAGUGUCAAAGUUCUCGAAUACAAACUUUACUGACCAGCUGAAUAUGAGGAAGCCACUGGCACGAAAGCACUGAAUAUUUCAUCUUUCAGUGGAACAUGCAGUUUCUGGGCAGAGAGUUUCUAUGAGCUGAGGUGACCAGAUUUUUAUUAUUUAAUCAUUAUUUGCCUGGAGCAGUCAUUUCUCUUACAAAACCUUCCAACCAUUCCAGUGUGGCUCAGAUCUGGAGGUUAGAACUCAGCUCCUUCCCAGUGAGAGGCUUCACAGAAGAAAUCGUGCAGUGCUGUGAGACUCAGGACUGGCAAGUGCGAGUGGAUGUGUGGUUCUGGGGAUAAAUCAUGAAAACAGCUGGGUAAUUCCUUGUUAAAAUUGUUCUAGCGUAAACCUGACAACUGAAUCUAAGUAAAAGAGCAGAAACAUUACUAUAACCACCUAUAAUACCAUGAUAGAUGGUGUUACUGUUGCCUGGAGACCUCAGUCUCUAAGCCAGAUGUCCACAGGUUAAAAUCUGUUGCCUCUGUAAUAAAAUAUAAGAGUUGCAAAGAAUGACUCAACUAAUGAGCAGUUCUCUUGAACUUUGAAUGCAAGCUAUUUUUUCCCAUUUUUUCCUACUCUCCUUUAGGUCUGAUGAAUUAUGUAUCCAUUUAGCCAUUCUUGGUUUAGCAGAGGCAUCAAAGGGAGCUGAAAUAUGGAGAGAGAUGGUCAAUAUUAGACAGACAUAUGAAAAGGGUUACAUCUGCAGGGUUCCUUUUGGAAAGCUGUUCAAAAUAAGUUCGAAAGAAUAAGUGUGACAGGAGCAAGAUAAAAGUCCAAAUUAGCACAAAUAGCUCUAAGCAGCAUUGAAAAAGUAGGGUACAAGGUGCAGUGUCCAGCAGAAAUUCAGACCACAGAGAAAUCCAUGAUAAAUGAUUCAUAGGCUACAGAGUGGAUAAAUGACACAACCGAGCCUUUUUAGUAACUGAAUGGAGACAGUCAUAGCUGAAAUGAAUGGGCUAAGUUUGUGACUCUUUAACAGAACAAGAUUUUACAUAAUUUUGCAUGAUUCCUCCUCACUUAAGUUGUGUGAAUACAGAGUUAUUUCCCUAUUCCUUAGGCAAACCUGUUAAACAGCAUUAAAUUCCUUCAGGAAUCAACAUGAUUUCCCAAUCCCUGCCAUUGCCUCUUCUAAAUCUGAACUGGGGAGAAGUAAAAGCAGCAUUACAGAAGGCUUUGAACCAAAACAAGAUCCUGACUCAGGAUCAUCUGUCUCACUUCACGUCCUUGUAUUUUGCCAAGUGCUGCACACCAGGAAUUGAUAAUCUCAUUCAGUUUAAGGGCCUCCCUCAGCUGAAAAUACUGAGGCCAAGAAUUCUCAGGUUUUGAAGCUCUGAAUGCUCCUGGGCACUGAGAACAAUGUGAGAGAAUACAAGCAGAAGAAGUGACUGUGAUCUCAAGAGCACAAAGAAGUAAAAAUAUCCAAAAAAAAGACAAAGAAGAGAUACACACCAAGAUUUUCUAAAGGAUUAAAUCUUGUCACCAAAAAAAAAAAAAAGAAGCAAACAUUGAAAAAUACAGAAGAAAACAAAAAGAAGAAUAAAAUUACCCUGUGUGGGGAAGAGAGCUUCUCUGCUUUCCAACACCCACCAGUCAUAGGAGAUGUGCCCAGGAGCCAGGAUCUUCAAGCAGACCCACAUCUCAUUUUGGGAAAAGAGUUUUUUUAAGCUCCAUCCCUACAGCUGCUCGUGCUGAGGAAGUUGUCAGGAUAACGGUGCUGCCGUGCCAGCGCUGCUCAUCUCCUGAUGUUCUGCUCCUCUCCUGAUGUUCUGCUCCUCUCCUGAUUCAGGGACAGGUUACUGCUCAGCAAAGCCCAAUGUUUUGUGGUGAAGACAGAAAAGUGUGUGCACACCCAAGAAGAAGUCAUACAGCAGCCUGUGGAUUCCUGGACAUGCUUCUGGCAUGAUGGAAUAUCUGCAGAGAACACCACAACAAUUAAUUAGUGACUCCACUGACAUUUGAAAGUUACCUUAUGUUCAGGAAACUCUCUAGGUAGGAUUUGUUCACCCUGGAAAGCAACCUCAAAUCAUGUCACAUCUGCUUCUCUCCAGCAGAAGCUGCUCUUUUACUUGAUGUAUUCCCCUGCAGGACUCUCAGUUCUUUCUUUCCACCUCCAGCCUCAUUCACCAGGAAGAUAAGAAAUUAUUCCAGGAUAUUGGAUCCAUCACAAAUCGCCACCAUCCCAGAGUCCACAGAAAAAACAGACAUCACAAUUAUUUUAUUUAAAUAUUCAUUGCUUUAUUGAUAAAAUCAGCAGAGCAGGCCUUGUAGCCUUUUUGCGUAUCUUCUUUAUAUGAAGGAUCUUAGACUUGGCCUAUUAUCAAUUAGAAUAAUUCAAAAAGUAGCAAAAAAUCAAUGUGUUGAUAGAAUUAUAAAUGAAAUUUCUUUCUGAGUAGAGAAAAGAGAGGCUAUUCAGGAGGAAUAGCGUAACAGCAUUAUAACAGAGGAUGUUUAAAACUUAGAUGAUGAACACAAGAGUGACUUCCUACCUAAAAGGUUAUAAAAGUAGCAAAAACUUAAAAAGUAAAACCUUUCCCCAUAUGCAUGUAAGCUUCCAUACCUCUUCUUUUUUUGGCUGCAAGACAAAGACUGGGAACCAGACUUAUUGAAUACCCUUAAUUCUGCUGGAAGUGGAAGAUUAAUUAUAAGGAGGGAUAUUUCAUACAAACCUAUUUUACACAUAAUUGAUGUUUUAUACAAAUAUAAUGAAGGUUAACUUUGUCAGAUGUGAAAUAAUAUUGCUUAGGGUUUUCUUUAGUGCUGCUUAAAUUAAAAUAAUACUUUUUUUUAAGAUUUGUACUGGUAGCAAAGGACACAAACCAGGAUUAGAAUGGAGAAUCAUGCAGCCAAGCAAAAAAGUAAGGCUCCCCUGUAGUGUUUAACAAGACUGCACCAGAGUCUAUUGAAAACACUCUUUUUAAAAAAUUGUUAUUUGUCUGAAAAAUCCCUCCAACAGAGUCACUGUAGGUGUUAGUCACAAAUUGUGCAUAGUAAUGAACCAUUGUCUGGAGGAGGGGAAAUCACAUGUAGGAGUCAGGAGGAACAGGACACCCAAAGAGCAAGCAGUGCAACCUGUGCCAGCUGAAACGGAAUUCAGUAGUGUUAAAACACCCUCUAGGCUCAGUAUCAUGUGAAAUUUCUAAUUUGGACGGAACACACCAGCUGCAAAGGCACCAGUGGAUGAAAAUGUUCACUAGUCACUGUCCUAAACUGGCCACGUGGCCAUCCAGUACCAACCAAAGUGCUCCCACAAGUCCCAAUAUCUGAAAGUGCAGCUGUCCAUAAUGACUGCGGAGGGGAAAAAAAGACACCCUAAAGACCCAAGCACAUGGAAAAAAUGUAAAAACCAGGAAGCCAUUUCAGCAGGAGUAGAGCUUGGUGAACAGUGACAGAACUGUCUGGACUCAAGAUGAGAAACCAGAGAGAAAUCUCCCUGUUGUGUGGCCAUUUUGUGAUCUAUUUAGCAUUUUGGAAGUUCUCGAACCAGAUUUGUUUGUAAUCAGUGGUUUUACAUUGGAAGGAUGUGACCAUUUUAAGUUACCCUGGAAAAGGUUUUGAUAAUGAAACUUUAGUUCAACUGAGGCUGAAGUGGUUGUGGCAGCAGCAAGUGCCAUUUGAGUUUGUAACUGCCCACAGAAAAGUUUAAGUUUUUGGCACCUAAAAAUCCUGUCAGCUCUUCUUGUCCUUUUAUUAUAUUAUCUCUCCAUGACCUUGACAUGAGUGAUUUUUGCAAUAUAGCAGUGGUUUCAUUUAUUUUGGCUCAUUUAAUAGGGAGCAUUUAAGAACAUAUUCUUUCUCAGCAUGCAUCCUUAAGUAUCAUCUGAACACUACCAAAGUGACUAGCACAUUAGUGAUAUAAAAUUAGCCUAUUUUUACCCUGGUUAAUUAGCACUACGUUGUUGGCUUAUGCAUAUAGAAAUAUUUUUGACAAUGUAGAUGAUUCUUUCUCAAUUUUCACUGUCCUAAAUUAAAACAAGAUAAAUUUCCUGAGAGCAAAAAGAUUCCCUUCUUACUCAUUUUUGAGUUUCAUAAAAUGAUA